Ictalurus punctatus (channel catfish) is the source of this 909-nucleotide long non-coding RNA. Lineage: Eukaryota; Metazoa; Chordata; Actinopteri; Siluriformes; Ictaluridae. The record is from Ensembl.
CGACGUUGAAGAGAAGUAUGAUAGUUUACUUUUUAUCUAGGAUGUGGAGGUGUACUAGAAGUUAAGUACGCUAGUGUACUGUUGAUAUGCUAGUCUAAGCACUUUUUAUGCUAGUCUAAGCGCAUUAUAUGCUAGUCUAAGCACUUUUUAUGCUAGUCUAAGUUGUUUUUUAUGCUAGUCUAAGCGCAUUAUAUGCUAGUCUAAGCACUUUUUAUGCUAGUCUUAGUUGUUUUUUAUGCUAGUCUAAGCGCAUUAUAUGCUAGUCUAUGUAUUAGAAGUGAAGUACACUAGUGUACAUUUGAUAUGACAGUCUGAGUUCUUUUGAUACGCUAGUCUAAGCACUUUUUAUGCGAGUCUAAGUAUUAGAAGUGAAGUACACUGGUGUACAUUUGAUACACUAGUCUAAGCACUUUUUAUGCUAGUCUAAGUAUUAUAAGUGAAGUACAUUGAAUUCGUUUGAUAUGCUAGUCUAAGUUCUUUUGAUAUGCUAGUCUAAGUUCGUUUGAUAUGCUAGUCUAAGUUCGUUUGAUAUGCUAGUCUAAGUACUCUGGAUAUGCUAGUCUAAGUUCGUUUGAUAUGCUAGUCUAAGUUCAUUUGAUAUGCUAGUCUAAGUUCGUUUGAUAUGGUAGUCUAAGUUCGUUUGAUAUGCUAGUCUAAGUUCGUUGAUAUGCUAGUCUAAGUACUCUGGAUGUGCUAGUCUAAGUUCUUUUGAUAUACUAGUCUAAGUUCGUUUGAUAUGCCAGUCUAAGUUUGUUUGAUAUGCUAGUCUAAGUUCUUUUGAUAUGCUAGUGUAAGUUCGUUUGAUAUGCCAGUCUAAGUUCUUUUGAUAUGCCAGUCUAAGUUUGUUUGAUAUGCUAGUCUAAGUUCUUUUGAUAUGCUAGUGUAAGUUCGUUUGAUAUGCCAGUCUAA